RNAcentral lists this ribosomal RNA (177 nucleotides) under uncultured bacterium. RNAcentral describes it as "partial 16S ribosomal RNA". It matches the Rfam family "Bacterial small subunit ribosomal RNA", at positions 338 to 507 of the family's 1533-position model. The record is from RNAcentral.
CCUACGGGAGGCAGCAGUGGGGAAUUUUGGACAAUGGGCGCAAGCCUGAUCCAGCAAUGCCGCGUGCAGGAUGAAGGCCUUCGGGUUGUAAACUGCUUUUGUACGGAACGAAACGGUCCGCCUUAAUACGGUGGGCUAGUGACGGUACCGUAAGAAUAAGCACCGGCUAACUACGUG